AGAGUUUGAUUAUGGCUCAGGAUGAACGCUGGCGGCAUGCCUAACACAUGCAAGUUGAACGAGCUUAAAUUUUUAUCAAUUUAAGGUAAGUAGCGAACGGGUGAGUAAGGUAUGUAAGAAUCUACCUUUAGGAGGGGGAUAACCACUGGAAACGGCGGCUAAAACCCCAUAAGCUGUGGAGUAAAAAGUGAAAACUGCCUAAAGAUGAGCUUGCAUCUGAUUAGCUUGUUGGUGAAUUAAUUGUUCACCAAGGCGAUGAUCAGUAGUUGGUCUAAGAGGAUGAUCAACCACACUGGGACUGAGACACGGCCCAGACCUCUACGGGGGGCAGCAGUGGGGAAUUUUCCGCAAUGGGCGAGAGCCUGACGGAGCAAUGCCGCGUGGAUGAUGAAGGCUUUUGAGUCGUAAAAACCUUUUCUUAGUGAAGAAAAUAGACGGAGCUAAGGAAUAAGC
Molecule: ribosomal RNA, 453 nt
Filed under: uncultured bacterium
Lineage: Bacteria
Description: bacterial SSU rRNA
Rfam family: Bacterial small subunit ribosomal RNA
Source: RNAcentral